GACGAACGCUGGCGGCGUGCUUAACACAUGCAAGUCGAACGGAAAGGCCCUGCUUUUGUGGGGUGCUCGAGUGGCGAACGGGUGAGUAACACGUGAGUAACCUGCCCUUGACUUUGGGAUAACUUCAGGAAACUGGGGCUAAUACCGGAUAGGAGCUCCUGCUGCAUGGUGGGGGUUGGAAAGUUUCGGCGGUUGGGGAUGGACUCGCGGCUUAUCAGCUUGUUGGUGGGGUAGUGGCUUACCAAGGCUUUGACGGGUAGCCGGCCUGAGAGGGUGACCGGCCACAUAGGGACUGAGAUACGGCCCAGACUCCUACGGGAGGCAGCAGGGGGGAAUGUUGCACAAUGGGCGGAAGCCUGAUGCAGCAACGCCGCGUGCGGGAUGACGGCCUUCGGGUUGUAAACCGCUUUCGCCUGUGACGAAGCGUGAGUGACGGUAAUGGGUAAAGAAGCACCGGCUAACUACGUG
This 468-nucleotide ribosomal RNA is filed under the name uncultured bacterium. Its description in RNAcentral is "partial 16S ribosomal RNA". It matches the Rfam family "Bacterial small subunit ribosomal RNA", at positions 28 to 507 of the family's 1533-position model. The record is from RNAcentral.